This 440-nucleotide ribosomal RNA is filed under the name uncultured bacterium. Its description in RNAcentral is "partial 16S ribosomal RNA". It matches the Rfam family "Bacterial small subunit ribosomal RNA", at positions 339 to 795 of the family's 1533-position model. The record is from RNAcentral.
CUACGGGCCGCUGCAGUCGGGAAUAUUGCGCAAUGGAGGAAACUCUGACGCAGUGACGCCGCGUAUAGGAAGAAGGUUUUCGGAUUGUAAACUAUUGUCGUUAGGGAAGAUAAAAGACAGUACCUAAGGAGGAAGCUCCGGCUAACUACGUGCCAGCAGCCGCGGUAAUACGUAGGGAGCAAGCGUUAUCCGGAUUUAUUGGGUGUAAAGGGUGCGUAGACGGGAAGACAAGUUAGUUGUGAAAUCCCUCGGCUCAACUGAGGAACUGCAACUAAAACUAUUUUUCUUGAGUGUUGGAGAGGAAAGUGGAAUUCCUAGUGUAGCGGUGAAAUGCGUAGAUAUUAGGAGGAACACCGGUGGCGAAGGCGACUUUCUGGACAAUAACUGACGUUGAGGCACGAAAGUGUGGGGAGCAAACAGGAUUAGAUACCCGCGUAGUC